Molecule: ribosomal RNA, 569 nt
Filed under: Helotiales sp. OTU23 TS-2013
Lineage: Eukaryota; Fungi; Ascomycota; Leotiomycetes; Helotiales
Description: eukaryotic LSU rRNA
Rfam family: Eukaryotic large subunit ribosomal RNA
Source: RNAcentral
AAACCAACAGGGAUUACCUUAGUAACGGCGAGUGAAGCGGUAACAGCUCAAAUUUGAAAUCUGGCUCUUUCAGGGUCCGAGUUGUAAUUUGUAGAAGAUGCUUCNGGUGUGGUCCCGGUCUAAGUUCCUUGGAACAGGACGUCAUAGAGGGUGAGAAUCCCGUAUGUGACUGGGUCCCUUCGCUCAUGUGAAGCUCUUUCGACGAGUCGAGUUGUUUGGGAAUGCAGCUCUAAAUGGGUGGUAUAUUUCAUCUAAAGCUAAAUAUUGGCCAGAGACCGAUAGCGCACAAGUAGAGUGAUCGAAAGAUGAAAAGCACUUUGGAAAGAGAGUUAAACAGUACGUGAAAUUGUUGAAAGGGAAGCGCUUGCAACCAGACUUGCCCGCCGUCGAUCAGUCGGGGUUCUCCCCGGUGCACUCGGCGGCGUUCAGGCAGCAUCGGUUUCCGGGGUGGGAUAAAGGCCUUGGGAAUGUACCUUCUUUCGGGGAGUGUUAUAGCCCUCGGUGCAUGCCGCCUCUCGGGACCGAGGACCGCGCUUCGGCUAGGAUGCUGGCUAAUGGUUGUAAGCGAC